AGUCAAUUGGCUCAUUUGGUUGAG
Molecule: non-coding RNA, 24 nt
Filed under: Arabidopsis thaliana (thale cress)
Lineage: Eukaryota; Viridiplantae; Streptophyta; Magnoliopsida; Brassicales; Brassicaceae
Source: RNAcentral